RNAcentral lists this ribosomal RNA (253 nucleotides) under uncultured bacterium. RNAcentral describes it as "partial 16S ribosomal RNA". It matches the Rfam family "Bacterial small subunit ribosomal RNA", at positions 524 to 776 of the family's 1533-position model. The record is from RNAcentral.
UACGAAGGGGGCUAGCGUUGCUCGGAAUCACUGGGCGUAAAGGGCGCGUAGGCGGCCAUUCAAGUCGGGGGUGAAAGCCUGUGGCUCAACCACAGAAUUGCCUUCGAUACUGUUUGGCUUGAGUAUGGUAGAGGUUGGUGGAACUGCGAGUGUAGAGGUGAAAUUCGUAGAUAUUGGGAAGAACACCGGUGGCGAAGGCGGCCAUCUGGACCGCAACUGACGCUGAGGCGCGAAAGCGUGGGGAGCAAACAGG